Molecule: unclassified non-coding RNA, 417 nt
Filed under: Hevea brasiliensis (rubber tree)
Lineage: Eukaryota; Viridiplantae; Streptophyta; Magnoliopsida; Malpighiales; Euphorbiaceae
Source: RNAcentral
GCCUCGACAAGAAAAUGGGAAUGAAAAUGGAUUUCUCCUUGGCAUCCCAUUCCUGUUCAUCUUCAGAGUUGAACAUAGCUGAAAAAUAUGCUCAAAAUGUCUAGAUUGGAUUUCAUUUCCACCUCAAUGAAAGAGUGCCAAACACGAGAUUUGUACCUGUCUGUAAAUGCUAGUAAAAUAUACAUUUCUGAAUAGAUUUUCCUUUGCCGCUCACAUUCAGGGAGUAGAAUUUGAUCCUCAAGCUAUAUCCACAGAACUUGCAAGAUCAAAUUCAAGGAGAAAUGUAAACCAGGGAGUAAAGCCUAUGUGGUUGUUGAUAAACGAACUCAAAUGGCUUCUAAUGCCCAAGAAAUUAACAUCAAAGUGAUGAUGGUAUUUGCUGAUUUAUGCAUCAAUUGAUAUUUAAAUGAGUAUGAA